Telopea speciosissima is the source of this 88-nucleotide long non-coding RNA. RefSeq lists it as uncharacterized. The transcript is spliced from 3 exons. NCBI's taxonomy places the organism in Eukaryota, Viridiplantae, Streptophyta, Magnoliopsida, Proteales, Proteaceae. The record is from RefSeq and is a predicted model, not a curated record.
CCUCAAUGCCAAGAAAAUAUCUGAGAGCGCCCAAAUCUUUCAUCUGCAAGUGUUGUUGUAAGUAAGAUUUAACCUUAUGUGACACUAG